RNAcentral lists this long non-coding RNA (660 nucleotides) under Mytilus galloprovincialis (Mediterranean mussel). Lineage: Eukaryota; Metazoa; Mollusca; Bivalvia; Mytilida; Mytilidae. The record is from RNAcentral.
GGAAAGUCAUAUCGCCAAAUCAUUGGAGCAUCAAUGGGAGCAACAGCUUCCCCUGAAAUAUGUGACAUUGCUAUUUACAAUCACAUAAACUCAAUCCUUAAAAAACUCUCCAAUCUCUGAAAAAAUAAUUUUUCAUAAAAGAAUGAGAGAUGAUGGACUUCUAAUGGUGAAAGCAAAAGAGUCUGAAAUUGACUUUAUGUUUGAAAAUGCAAAUAAAAAAACAUGACCUGCUAAAGUUCACUUACGAAUGCAAUAAACAGUCCAUAAAAUUUCUAGACCUAGAAAUCUUCAAGGGCGAACGCUUCAAAAAUACUGGUGUUUUAGACCUGAAAUGUUUUACAAAGAAAACUGAAAAAUUCCAAUAUCUUCAUAAAAACUCAAACCAUCCCAUCUCAAACUUUAAAUCUUUUAUUAAAGGCGAAGGCAUUCGCAUACUUAGAAACACCAACAAUGAAAGUGAAUUUCAAACCAGAAAAAAUCUUUUUAUUGAAAAACUGUUAAUAAGAGGAUAUAAACGGAAAUUGGUAGAACAAAUUCUAUCAAAAAUCAAAUUCCAAGACAGGCAAAUUAAAUUAAAGAAAAAGAACAAAGUUGAAAAUAAAUACAAUGUAUCAUUCAUUACAAAUUAUCAUCCUCAAGCAGAAAAACUUCAAAAAGUAU